UAUCCGUAGGUGAACCUGCGGAGGGAUCAUUAUUGUAUAACCGAGUUGCGAGGGCUGUCGCUGACCCGACAUGUCGUGCAGGCCCGAGUGCCCGCACACACAUCCGGCUCACCCCUAUGUGCACCACCGCGUGGCUGCGCCAUUGGCUUGUUCGAAUUUGAGCUUACGUUUUCACACAAGCUUUGUAUCCAAAGUAGAAUAUAUUUUUUUUUUUUGCUAUCAUGCAUUCAAUACAACUUUCAACAGCGGCUCUCUUGUCUCUCACAUCGAUGAAGAACA
RNAcentral lists this unclassified non-coding RNA (279 nucleotides) under plant metagenome. RNAcentral describes it as "partial contains small subunit ribosomal RNA, internal transcribed spacer 1, and 5.8S ribosomal RNA". The record is from RNAcentral.